Molecule: ribosomal RNA, 253 nt
Filed under: uncultured bacterium
Lineage: Bacteria
Description: partial 16S ribosomal RNA
Rfam family: Bacterial small subunit ribosomal RNA
Source: RNAcentral
UACGUAGGGGGCAAGCGUUGUCCGGAUUUAUUGGGCGUAAAGCGCUCGCAGGUGGCCCGAUGCGUCGUGCGUGAAAGACCCCGGCUCAACUGGGGAGUGUCACGCGAUACUGUUCGACUCGAAGGCAGGAGAGGGAAGUGGAAUUCCCGGUGUAGUGGUGAAAUGCGUAGAUAUCGGGAGGAACACCAGUGGCGAAGGCGACUUCCUGGCCUGUUCUUGACGCUGAGGCGCGAAAGCGUGGGGAGCAAACAGG